GUGGGUGUAGCUCAGUUGGUUAGAGCACCUGAUUGUGGUUCAGGAGGUCGCGGGUUCAAAUCUCGUCACUCACCCCA
RNAcentral lists this transfer RNA (77 nucleotides) under Candidatus Omnitrophota bacterium. Its description in RNAcentral is "tRNA-His". It matches the Rfam family "tRNA". Rfam says of the family: Transfer RNA (tRNA) molecules are approximately 80 nucleotides in length. The record is from RNAcentral. Lineage: Bacteria; Pseudomonadati; Candidatus Omnitrophota. RNAcentral also lists the same sequence under 1 other name.